GCCCAAGUGGUGAAAUUGGUAGACACGCUAUCUUGAGGGGGUAGUGACUUCGGUCAUGCCGGUUCAAGUCCGGCCUUGGGCACCA
Molecule: transfer RNA, 85 nt
Filed under: Pseudomonadales bacterium
Lineage: Bacteria; Pseudomonadati; Pseudomonadota; Gammaproteobacteria; Pseudomonadales
Also listed under: 4 other names
Description: tRNA-Leu
Rfam family: tRNA
About the family: Transfer RNA (tRNA) molecules are approximately 80 nucleotides in length. Their secondary structure includes four short double-helical elements and three loops (D, anti-codon, and T loops).
Source: RNAcentral